This 1949-nucleotide ribosomal RNA is filed under the name human gut metagenome. RNAcentral describes it as "bacterial LSU rRNA". It matches the Rfam family "Bacterial large subunit ribosomal RNA", at positions 3 to 1995 of the family's 2925-position model. The record is from RNAcentral.
UCAAGUGACUAAGUGCAUGCGGCGGAUGCCUUGGCGAUCACAGGCGAAGAAAGACGCGGCAGCCUGCGAAAAGCUGCGGGGAGCUGGCAAACGAGCUUUGAUCCGCAGAUAUCUGAAUGGGGGAACCCACACCGCAAGGUGUAUCCGUAACUGAAUACAUAGGUUACGGAGGCGAACGAGGAGAACUGAAACAUCUAAGUAUCCUCAGGAAAAGAAAUCAACCGAGAUUCCGGCAGUAGCGGCGAGCGAACCCGGAGGAGCCCAGCUUUUGAUAGUACGAACUUUAGCCGAAAGGUCCUGGAAAGGCCUGCUAUAGUGGGUGAUAGCCCCGUAGGCGAAAAAGUUUGUGCGGUACUAAGGAAGCGAGAAGUAGAGCGGGACACGUGGAAUCCUGUUCGAAGAUGGGGGGACCAUCCUCCAAGGCUAAAUACUCGUGAUCGACCGAUAGUGAACCAGUACCGUGAGGGAAAGGCGAAAAGAACCCCGGGAGGGGAGUGAAAUAGAACCUGAAACCGCAUGCAUACAAACAGUAGGAGCCUCGUCAGAGGUGACUGCGUACCUUUUGCAUAAUGGGUCAGCGACUUACAUUCUGUGGCGAGCUUAACCGAAUAGGGGAGGCGCAGCGAAAGCGAGUUCGAAAUGAGCGUCCAGUCGCAGGGUGUAGACCCGAAACCAGAUGAGCUAUCCAUGGCCAGGUUGAAGGUGUGGUAACACACACUGGAGGACCGAACCGACUAGUGUUGCAAAAUUAGCGGAUGAGCUGUGGAUAGGGGUGAAAGGCCAAACAAAUCUGGAGAUAGCUGGUUCUCCCCGAAAACUAUUGAGGUAGUGCCUCGUGUGUCGCUCCAGGGGGUAGAGCACUGUUUUGGCUAGGGGGACAUGGAGUCUUACCAAACCAAGGCAAACUCCGAAUACCUGGAAGCGUGAGCACGGGAGACAGAGCACCGGGUGCUAACGUCCGGACUCAAAAGGGAAACAACCCAGACCGCCGGCUAAGGUCCCAAAUAACAGCUAAGUGGAAAACGAAGUGGAAAGGCCGUGACAACCAGGAAGUUGGCUUAGAAGCAGCCAUCCUUCAAAGAAAGCGUAAUAGCUCACUGGUCGAGUCCUUCUGCGCGGAAGAUGUAACGGGGCUAAGCUGUUAACCGAAGCCGCGGAUGCACUGGUUAUCCAGUGCGUGGUAGGGGAGCGUUCUGUAAGUCUGCGAAGGCGGUUCGAGAGGACUGCUGGAGAUAUCAGAAGUGCGAAUGCUGACAUGAGUAACGUUAAAGCAGGUGAAAAGCCUGCUCGCCGUAAGCCCAAGGAUUCCUGCUCUACGUUCAUCGGAGCAGGGUGAGUCGGCUCCUAAGGUCAGGCCGAAAGGCGUAGCCGAUGGGAAUCAGGUUAAUAUUCCUGAACCUGCGUCAGAUGCGAUGGGGGGACGGAGCAUGGAAGAUCAUCCGGGUGUUGGAAGUCCCGGUUGUUGAGCGUAGGAGGUCUGCAGGCAAAUCCGCAGACGCAUCUCCAAGGCAAAGACACGUGCCGCCACGGCGGCGAAGUGAUCGGAAGUGCUUCCAAGAAAAGCCUCUAAGCACCAGUCUGACGCGGACCGUACCGCAAACCGACACUGGUGGGCGAGCUGAAUAUGCUCAGGCGCUUGAGAGAACUCGGGAGAAGGAACUCGGCAAAUUGACACCGUAACUUCGGAAGAAGGUGUGCCGUAGUACCGUGAGAGGAGAGACACCUUGAGCGGGAAACGGUCUCAGAGAAUAGGUGGCUGCGACUGUUUAUUAAAAACACAGCACUCUGCAAAGUCGAAAGACGACGUAUAGGGUGUGAUGCCUGCCCGGUGCUGGAAGAUUAAUUGAUGGGGUGAGAGCCCUUGAUCGAAGUCCCAGUAAACGGCGGCCGUAACUAUAACGGUCCUAAGGUAGCGAAAUUCCUUGUCGGGUAAGUUCCGACCUGCACGA